UUUUCGAGCACCUCACAUCUACCGUGCCACCGUAUUUAGUACUACUCCGGAAUCCGGAUCACAUAACUGUCAAGACAUCAAGCGGAAACAGCGACUGAUCCAUCUUGGGCGACCCCACACGCGAAUGAAGCGCAGAGCGCUCGUUCGGGGCGUCGUGGCGCCGUGAAUCCCCACACGAACAUCGUUCAAUCCGCUGCCCCACGAAGGUGGUGGCGAUCGCAUCUGUGUGGAAAGGGAGAAAAAAGAGAGGGCGACGUGGAUCAUCGAUGUGGUAGUUGCUGGUUGGUGGGGCGAUGACAUCACCGACGACCGCCCGUACCAAGCCGGCCGAUCGCUGGAUCGAUCGAUCGAUCGAUUCGCGAGCUGUUUACGCACGCGCUUCGCCUUUUCGGCCGACGGGACGGGACGCGAUUUUCCGGGUCGUGCUUCGCCUCCGGCGCUGCGGCGCUGUAACUGGAACAAUGGCCACUUGGCACGGAGCUGAUGAUUGAAAGGCUUGGACGGACGCGGCCGGGCUAAUCCAUAUCGCGAAGCCUAGUCUUAAUCGCAAUCCUCUAAUGAAGUCCAAGCUAAUCCAUCUCGGCAACCUAAUCUUAAUCACAGCCUUCUUGAUAGUGCGUAACACUGUGACAGGAAGAAUGUUCAGAGAAGAGAUUAUACAUACGGGAAGGGUCUAUCGGGUCGUCAGGUUUGUUUUUCACAUUACUAUUUGAUCAAUUAAUAUUUAAAAUUCUUUCAAUUAUAUUUCCAGCUAUCCUCCCACUCUCGUCAUUUCCUCAGUUUUGUUAUUAAUAUUAAUAUCUGUCAAAUAUAGUUUCCACACAAACUGAUGGAGUUGGCAGCACUCGUCAAAAAGAAAGUCUUCGCACUUUGAUAGUAUCCGUUUUUUUUCAUAAUCAAGGACAAUCUCUGUCUAGAUCAAUCAUUGACUGAAAAAACAAACGGAGAGAAUCAGCAUCCUUUUUAAUAAAGAGUUCCUCAAGUCGAUGUGAGCAUGCUUUAACAGAAACAAAAUCAGCUAAAAGGACAUCUUGUUUAAUAGAGGUUGGUUGGCUAGGUGGCUUUGCCAUAACCCAGUCAUACCAACCAUUUUGUCCACAUUGUGUGACUAUGAGCUGUGGUAGGCCAUGAGCCCAUGAUAUAUUGCAGCAGCCUGUCCUCUUCCUAUGCAUCUUCCAGGUCAUGUGACUUUGUGACUCCUCUGCUCUCUUCUCAGAAGUUGCAACAUUCUUUAAUGAUAACCACCAGUGAGUUAAUGGCAUAUGGCAACAAACAGAAUUUGGGCUUAACUGAAGGCGAAACACAGCAUCUGGUUGAAAGUGCAGAGUUAGCCAUGUGCUUUGAAGUUUUGGAGGAAAACUGGCAAAGACUGAAACCAGGCUAACCUGCAGGUAUCAGACGAUUUUUAGAGUAUUUGACACUCCCUACUUGACUGUCAUAUGCAGCGACGGUCCGUUUGAGUCAGAAAUGCUCUUACGAUGUGUUGACUACUAUUAUAGGCAACGUUUGAUUCUUUUUUACUUUUAAAAUAUGAAACUGCAUAUCUUGCCGAAGUUGGAAGCAAUAAAGCGUGGGAUUUGCCGCCCUACUUAUGUAUUACGCCAUUCACCGGUCAUGGAGCAUUGCAGCUUUACUUGAGU
Molecule: long non-coding RNA, 1640 nt
Filed under: Oryza brachyantha (malo sina)
Lineage: Eukaryota; Viridiplantae; Streptophyta; Magnoliopsida; Poales; Poaceae
Description: long non-coding RNA (OBRA_LNC000284)
Source: RNAcentral